UGGUGGGUAGUUUGACUGGGGCGGUCUCCUCCCAAAGCGUAACGGAGGAGCACGAAGGUGGGCUAAUCACGGUUGGACAUCGUGAGGUUAGUGCAAUGGCAUAAGCCCGCUUGACUGCGAGAAUGACAAUUCGAGCAGGUGCGAAAGCAGGUCAUAGUGAUCCGGUGGUUCUGAAUGGAAGGGCCAUCGCUCAACGGAUAAAAGGUACUCCGGGGAUAACAGGCUGAUACCGCCCAAGAGUUCAUAUCGACGGCGGUGUUUGGCACCUCGAUGUCGGCUCAUCACAUCCUGGGGCUGAAGUCGGUCCCAAGGGUAUGGCUGUUCGCCAUUUAAAGUGGUACGCGAGCUGGGUUUAGAACGUCGUGAGACAGUUCGGUCCCUAUCUGCCGUGGGCGUUGGAGAAUUGAAAGGGGCUGCUCCUAGUACGAGAGGACCGGAGUGGACGAACCUCUGGUGUUCGGGUUGUGUCGCCAGACGCAUUGCCCGGUAGCUAAGUUCGGGAUCGAUAACCGCUGAAAGCA
Molecule: ribosomal RNA, 521 nt
Filed under: Vibrio alginolyticus
Lineage: Bacteria; Pseudomonadati; Pseudomonadota; Gammaproteobacteria; Vibrionales; Vibrionaceae
Description: partial 23S ribosomal RNA
Rfam family: Bacterial large subunit ribosomal RNA
Source: RNAcentral